AAUCAAACAGACAAGUUAAAGCUUUAAACGGGAUCUAUCAUACAAAAUUUACAUCUUCCAUGUUUUUCUAGUUUCUUUGGGUCUCUAUUUCUUCUGCAAACAGCCCAACCACUCAAAGGUCCAGUUUUAUGCUUCCUUGAACAAGCUAUAGGUCUGUGGGCUAUACAAGGCAUGUUCAUUUCUUCUUGUUUGAUACAUAAAACCAUUCUCAGAUAUUGAGAUUUCACCUGACCAGUUCAGCCUUUUUUGAGCUCAUUAAGGAAUGCACUGUUUUAUGGCUAUAUCACGAUUAUGCAAAUGAGCUGAUUAUGAGCUGAAAUUAUUAUGCAAAGGUGAAGCACUGCACUGCCUCAACCUGCUCUUCUUUCAUGUAUGUCAACAGGUAAUGUGUAAAUUGAGUAAAUAUAAAAAUGUUGAAAUUACCAAUAAAAUUAAAACUUCUAGAAAAUUCAAGUGGACAAAUUGAUUUUCUCUCAUCAUUCGGUUCAUUCUGGCUGUUUCGGAGGAAAAAAGAUUUUUUUGACAACCGUUCCUUCUUGUUUUGGAUGCUGUGUGGUCGGACUAAUUUUUGGCAAUAUUUUUCAUACUUGUGCUAUUUUGUUAUGAUGCGUAACCAUAGCAACAGGGUGGUUUACAACAGGGAGCAGCUGAUUAACAUCGGAAAAGCUAAAAUAAAACCACAGCUGAAGCCAGAAAUCCUGUGGGAGUUGAAAAGAAGGCAGAGCAGGAGCAAAGAGGAGAGAGAGAAAGAGGAAGUUGGAGUUGAAGAUGCCAUCAUACACCUGCUUCAACAAACCCACCGUCAUCCGGACAGUGUCAUCAGCUUCGUUGUUGCUAAGAUACAGACACAAAACCCUAACGCAUUUGUGGAAAUAUCUGGGGAUGUUAAUCAGGCCUCACUUUCUUCAACACUGGCAACGUUUCACCAGUUUGUCAGCUGCUCCACUGGGGAAAACAAGAUUUUGGAUUUGUUUUAUGCUAAUGUCAAGGUCAAUGUCAAUAUGUCUCCAAACCAAGACCUCCUUUAGGGAAAUCAGACCACAAUUUUCUUUUUCUCUGCUCUGAAUGCAAACCCCUGGUGAAGAGACGACCUGUUAGGAAAUGGUCACAUGAAGCAGAAGAGGCCCUCCAAGCUUGUUUUGAAGCAGCUGAUUUAACUACUCUCUGCCAGCCACAUGGAGAUGACAUCAGUGCCAUGACUGAGUGUGUGACUACGAGGGAUGCUCCGAUCAGGUUUUUUGCUGCCAAUUCCGAUACCGAUCACCCAUGAGGCCGAUCUUUGCCGAUCACCUGGAUUGGCUGUUAAUUUUUCGUUUUAGGUAUAAAUACUGCUACGUGAUCUGGCAAUAAAUUCACCUAAUUUAGACAUAAAUUACAAAAUAUUUGCAGGCACAACACAGCAGCUAUUCAGUCAAAAGGACAACUGAAAGACCUGCAAUCAGUAAAAUAAUAUUUAACAGAAGAUCCUCAGUACCAUAAAUUAUGCAUAUGUUGUACAGGGAAAAAUAUGAUUGUGUUUCUAUUUUUACUUUUGUUGUGCUUUGCAUGCUUGGGGUUUGUUUUUUCUUUUUUCCCGUUAACAAUCCAAACGCACUGGACUGAAGGUGCUUGUCUAGGGAGGCGCAGCGCACUAAUUGGCCGCCGAUACAGGUGUCAGCAGAGGCUGAUUAAAGCCAAAAUAAAAGAAGCCUGGAUGGAAGGAGGCGGAGAGGGAAAACUACCUGUUUCUGUAGGCUACAGAAACCGACACGCUGCAGAGCGAGGGGAAGACGGAAUCUGCACGUCAGGCGCAGAAGACCGGGAGCUGAAUAAACGGCCCAGUACAGAGGAUUAGGGCAGAGGAGAACCUCUGCCUGCGCCUCUGGAUCGGGCGGAAGAGGGGCGUUGCACGCCGAAGAGUGGAGCGGUGCUGAAGCGUCGUGCAGUCAGCUGGGGAUCGGCAACGGAGUGCGCUGCAGACGGAUUACCUCCUCCAGAAGCAACCUAAGAAGCGGAGCCCAGCCCGUGGCCUCGGAUUGGUGACUUUUAUUAAGGACAAUUACUGAGCCCUGGAUUUUAUUGAGGAAAAGAGGGCGGUUUUAUUGUGUCACUGCGCUUGAUUGCUUUGCUGUUUGGGUUUUUGACUUGUCUGCUCCCCCUUGUACCAAGGACAGAGUGUGGGGCCAUAUUGGCUGUUAACACAUAAGUCAAAUAAAUCUUACAAUACCUCCUAUUCUAUUCAGUCAGAGGCUUCUUCAAAUUCACUGUAACACAGACCGCUACAGGAUCCUGCCACCAGCCAUCACCGUCUACCGUAACGCUUUGAAAAAUCUGAAUUAAUGAGCUACAACAUUUAAUUUACCUUUGGGAUCAAUAAAGUAUUGUUGAAUUUGAAUUUUGUAUAGUCUAUAGAUGUAUCCUAUCCUGUUCAAGGAAGCAUAAUAAAACCUUUAUAAUCUAA
Long non-coding RNA from Xiphophorus couchianus (Monterrey platyfish), 2440 nucleotides. RefSeq lists it as uncharacterized. The record is from RefSeq and is a predicted model, not a curated record. The transcript has 2 exons. Lineage: Eukaryota; Metazoa; Chordata; Actinopteri; Cyprinodontiformes; Poeciliidae.